RNAcentral lists this ribosomal RNA (494 nucleotides) under uncultured bacterium. RNAcentral describes it as "partial 16S ribosomal RNA". It matches the Rfam family "Bacterial small subunit ribosomal RNA", at positions 28 to 507 of the family's 1533-position model. The record is from RNAcentral.
GACGAACGCUGGCGGCGUGCUUAACACAUGCAAGUCGAACGGUGAAGCGCCUUCCUUUUUGGUGGGUGUGGAUGAGUGGCGAACGGGUGAGUAACACGUGAGUAACCUGCCCCCUUCUUCUGGAUAACCGCAUGAAAGUGUGGCUAAUACGGGAUAUUCUGGGUCUGUCGCAUGAUGGGUCUGGGAAAGAUAUUGUUUCGGUGGGGGAUGGGCUCGCGGCCUAUCAGCUUGUUGGUGGGGUGAUGGCCUACCAAGGCGGUGACGGGUAGCCGGCCUGAGAGGGUGGACGGUCACACUGGGACAGAGACACGGCCCAGACUCCUACGGGAGGCAGCAGUGGGGAAUAUUGCACAAUGGGCGCAAGCCUGAUGCAGCGACGCCGCGUGAGGGAUGGAGGCCUUCGGGUUGUGAACCUCUUUCGCCAGUGAAGCAGGCCUGCCUCGUUUGUGGGUGGGUUGACGGUAGCUGGAUAAGAAGCGCCGGCUAACUACGUG